RNAcentral lists this ribosomal RNA (1330 nucleotides) under Klebsiella pneumoniae. RNAcentral's name for it is "bacterial SSU rRNA". It matches the Rfam family "Bacterial small subunit ribosomal RNA", at positions 87 to 1414 of the family's 1533-position model. The record is from RNAcentral. Lineage: Bacteria; Pseudomonadati; Pseudomonadota; Gammaproteobacteria; Enterobacterales; Enterobacteriaceae.
GGUGACGAGCGGCGGACGGGUGAGUAAUGUCUGGGAAACUGCCUGAUGGAGGGGGAUAACUACUGGAAACGGUAGCUAAUACCGCAUAACGUCGCAAGACCAAAGUGGGGGACCUUCGGGCCUCAUGCCAUCAGAUGUGCCCAGAUGGGAUUAGCUAGUAGGUGGGGUAACGGCUCACCUAGGCGACGAUCCCUAGCUGGUCUGAGAGGAUGACCAGCCACACUGGAACUGAGACACGGUCCAGACUCCUACGGGAGGCAGCAGUGGGGAAUAUUGCACAAUGGGCGCAAGCCUGAUGCAGCCAUGCCGCGUGUGUGAAGAAGGCCUUCGGGUUGUAAAGCACUUUCAGCGGGGAGGAAGGCGAUAAGGUUAAUAACCUUGUCGAUUGACGUUACCCGCAGAAGAAGCACCGGCUAACUCCGUGCCAGCAGCCGCGGUAAUACGGAGGGUGCAAGCGUUAAUCGGAAUUACUGGGCGUAAAGCGCACGCAGGCGGUCUGUCAAGUCGGAUGUGAAAUCCCCGGGCUCAACCUGGGAACUGCAUUCGAAACUGGCAGGCUAGAGUCUUGUAGAGGGGGGUAGAAUUCCAGGUGUAGCGGUGAAAUGCGUAGAGAUCUGGAGGAAUACCGGUGGCGAAGGCGGCCCCCUGGACAAAGACUGACGCUCAGGUGCGAAAGCGUGGGGAGCAAACAGGAUUAGAUACCCUGGUAGUCCACGCCGUAAACGAUGUCGAUUUGGAGGUUGUGCCCUUGAGGCGUGGCUUCCGGAGCUAACGCGUUAAAUCGACCGCCUGGGGAGUACGGCCGCAAGGUUAAAACUCAAAUGAAUUGACGGGGGCCCGCACAAGCGGUGGAGCAUGUGGUUUAAUUCGAUGCAACGCGAAGAACCUUACCUGGUCUUGACAUCCACAGAACUUUCCAGAGAUGGAUUGGUGCCUUCGGGAACUGUGAGACAGGUGCUGCAUGGCUGUCGUCAGCUCGUGUUGUGAAAUGUUGGGUUAAGUCCCGCAACGAGCGCAACCCUUAUCCUUUGUUGCCAGCGGUUAGGCCGGGAACUCAAAGGAGACUGCCAGUGAUAAACUGGAGGAAGGUGGGGAUGACGUCAAGUCAUCAUGGCCCUUACGACCAGGGCUACACACGUGCUACAAUGGCAUAUACAAAGAGAAGCGACCUCGCGAGAGCAAGCGGACCUCAUAAAGUAUGUCGUAGUCCGGAUUGGAGUCUGCAACUCGACUCCAUGAAGUCGGAAUCGCUAGUAAUCGUAGAUCAGAAUGCUACGGUGAAUACGUUCCCGGGCCUUGUACACACCGCCCGUCACACCAUGGGAGUGGG